ACAGAAAAAGUCGAAAGUCGAUUUUCAAGGGUAAAAUAUCGAUUCACUGAAUCGAUUCAGUACGACAUAUCGAUUUAAAAAAUCGAUUUAUUUGGUCCGAGAAAUCGAUUCUUCGAUUAAUCGAUUUGAGAUCGACAUCCCUACUCCACAAUGUGCUGGAGUCCAUGUGAAUUCAACAGUGAUAUUUUGGUUACGCAAAUCCGUCCAAAGUUUUUUAAUGUGAUAGAUGACAUGGUUUAUUCUAUUGCUAAAGCAAUUAUUUUGAAGGUUGAAAAGAACUGACAUACUGUCACUGACGAUAAGCCACUUAUUCUGUUUUCUGGCACAUAUGUCUUCUUUUAUAUAUUUCAAGGCAUGCAAUAUAGCAAGUGCUUCUGCUGUGAAAAUGCUGGAUGAAGGUAUGCCAAGAGUCAAUAGCUCUCUAGUGAGAACUUUAUGGUCAACAUUAUUAAAUGCUCCAACAAUAUCAAGAAAAACACAGACAAGGAAUCUGUUAUAUGCAAAUGCACUAUGAAUAUCUAAGUAAAGAUUAUUCAUACUUUCAGCAGCAGAAAAACCUCUACGGAAACCAAAUUGAUUUGAAGAUGGUCGAUAAUGGCGUUUGUCUGUUGAGUAACUCACAAAAAGCUGUCCAAGAAGCUUCUCUUUCUUUAUUAAGUGAAAGUUUUUUAAGUGCUUGUUGUUUUUUAAAUGAGAUAUAGUUUUCCAUAGAAGGAUCUGAUUUGAAUUGCAAAUAAACCUUGCGACACUGUUCUAUGGCAGCAGUACAGGUCUGAUUCCACCAAGGUAGACAUAGCCUUUUUUUGUGAUUUGUGUUGUGUGAUAAGGUUAUGUUUUUUGGUUUCGUGUUAGCAUCAUUGACACUUUCCAAUAAAAUAUUACAAAAAAUGGUGUAUGAAAGAAUGGGAUCGGAAAAAUCGAAAGUGUGAUCUAAAAUUUUGGAGUCAACAAUUUGUUUAUACUUGAACCAGUCAACAUUUACGUAGCUUGGUUUGGAAAAAUUACCCUGACUUGCUUUGUUAUUUGUAUUUUCAGAAUAGCUGAACAAGAUGCUAGUGACAGUUGGCAAGUGAUAGCUGCCCAUUGGAUCAUUGUGAACAGACCAGUUGCAACGAAGUGAUAGUGAUGAUGAAACAAUUGUGAGAUCUAAUGCAUUGGGACGCCAUUUGUGGGAACCCACAGUGGUGGCUUGUCCAUCAUUGAGUAUACAAAGAUCACUAUCUUCAAUAAUACUAUGUAGUGUUGUACCACGACCAUUAUUCGAAGUGCAACCCCACAUUGUAUGAUGAGCAUUAAAAUCACCUGCCAAUAGCAAGGGCUUUGGAAGAGAAUCAAUCAAAUUAUUGAUAUGUGUAUAAGUAAAAUUUUGCGAGGCAGCUGAAGUAGGACUAUAGAAGCUAACAAUAGAGAUUUCUUCAUUGUUGAACUGUAAUCUAAUAGCUAUGUUCUGCAAAGAAUCAUCAUGUAAUGUAUUUAAUCUAAUAUAGUUUAAAUUAUUUUUUAUAAGUAUAGCAACACCAUUAUGGUUGCUACCAAUAUCUAAUCUUUCUAUUUUGUAACCUUUGAUAUUAAAUUUUUUUUCGGGUUUUAACCAUGUUUCAGAAAUUAAAGCAAUAUGUAUAUCAUUAUUGUAAAGGAAAUAUGUAAAAGCAUGUUUAUUACUAGAUAGACUUUGAGCAUUCCACUGAAUUAUAUUCAAGUGGUCCAUAAAAAAAUUAAGUGGUUUUAAGUUUAUUUCUGUUUUUGUUUGUACUGAAAGUAUCUAAUAGAAUGCUUUUGAUGCCUGCAGAAGUAACAGGCGUUUCGUCAGACUUGUUGAGAGAUAUUAUUUUGAUAAUAGAAGAAAUAAGUAAGUUUACAAAGUCAUCGCACUGUAGGAGGUUUUUUAUAUUAUCAGUUGGUUUAGACUUGUUUAAUGUUGGAAAAGACUUCUCAUUGAAUAAAUCGGCGUAUGCAACUUUUUGGUA
Long non-coding RNA from Bombyx mori (domestic silkworm), 1967 nucleotides. RefSeq lists it as uncharacterized. The record is from RefSeq and is a predicted model, not a curated record. Lineage: Eukaryota; Metazoa; Arthropoda; Insecta; Lepidoptera; Bombycidae. The transcript has 3 exons.